AAGUCGUAACAAGGUUUCCGUAGGUGAACCUGCGGAAGGAUCAUUACCAAAGUUUAUAUACUUACCCCUUUUGUGAACCGAGUCCAAGUCCUUGGGGGAGAUGUAGUUUUUGAAUGAGUAGGUUCUCCUCUCGUUUUUAAUCUCUCUCCCCCGGCAGUGUUAACUGCCAUGCGCUUGCGUGUGGCGUGUUUGCACUUGCAUUAUGUUUAACAACAUGUAUUUAGUUUAAACGCUUUGUUGUAAUACAGCAUUCUCUUUUUGAGAAAUCGAAAAGAUAUGACAACUUUUAACGGUGGAUCUCUUGGCUCGU
Molecule: unclassified non-coding RNA, 310 nt
Filed under: fungal sp.
Lineage: Eukaryota; Fungi
Description: partial internal transcribed spacer region
Rfam family: Eukaryotic small subunit ribosomal RNA (bases 1-46)
Source: RNAcentral